AUGCUUGGGGUUUACAAGGUGUGAAUGCAUAUUGGGGAUCUUAGCUUUUCUGUUAGUUCAAGAAGGUCAAAACCACAGGUGGCGGCUGUUAGGUGUGAGAUCUCCUUUUCUUCCCUUUGAUUCUCUGGUUACGCUACGAUUAUUCUCAAGACAGGGGGCCAUUUAUAGGUUCAAUGAUGUUGGUUAGGGUUGGUUUGAUCUUUUAGGAAUGUUCUUUUUGAGGAUAAAGUGGUGAAGAGUGGGUCGAUAUGGAAGUUAUUGAGGAGUUCCUCGGGUGUAAUCGGUUCGGUUCGAUAUGGAAGAUCAUGCUUCAAUAGCUACCGAUUUGCCGGUCAAACAGGCCAGGGAUAUUGUGAACUGGCUCGCUUCAGGUCAAGAGGUUCAAAGACUAUGUGCAUUAACAGUCAAGUCCCUUGAUACACUCUUAUCCAAUACUCCUAAACCUCUUGCAAAAGGUUUGUAACAGUGACAUGAAUUGAACACACUUGGACACCAUCUUCCAAUUAUCAAAUCCGCCUUGAAAAGCUUAUACAGGAGGUGUUGAUAUUGCAGCAUUUUACAAUACACCACCAGCAAGCAAAAAAGAGAAAUAAACAAGGCAAUUAUGCUUGCACAAGAGGAAGCGCAAAAGGCUUGCAACGAAGAUGCAGUGGAGGGCCUAAUAGGAGUAUGCCCCCGAGAACUAUUUGAUGCCUCCAGGCCCGUAUGGUGGUGGCAUGUCGUGGUAGAGCUGAGUUAAAGAGGAAGCAGGAUUUUGAGAAACACCCACAGUCCAUGAUGAAGUAUGAUUGCAAUAAAAAUCAUUACCAUAUGGUUCCCAGUAUCCCUCUCCUGGACCGUUUUACUUCAUUGGCCCUUUGAGGAAGUCGACCCGUUGAAGAAACAGAUAGAAAGACCAGGACCGUUUUACUUCGUUGGCCCGACCCGUUGAUGAAACGGAUAGAAAGGCCAGGACCGUUUUACUUCGUUAGCUCUUUGAGGAAAUCGAGAGUUUGAGAUAUUUGUGUUAAGCCACCCGCGAAACUCGCGGGAUCUUAGGCUAGCGUUGGAAUAUAUUCAAAUUACAAUUUCAUCAUGUGUCAACUAAACAUUAAAUUUCAAUAGAAGUCAUUUCAAUUC
This 1119-nucleotide long non-coding RNA is filed under the name Helianthus annuus (common sunflower). Lineage: Eukaryota; Viridiplantae; Streptophyta; Magnoliopsida; Asterales; Asteraceae. The record is from RNAcentral.